GACGGAGGAGGCUAGCGUUGUUCGGAAUUACUGGGCGUAAAGCGUGCGCAGGUUGUGAGUUCAGUUGGAUGUGAAAGCCCGGGGCUUAACCUCGGAUGUGCAUCCAAUACUGGCUCGCUGGAGGUUGGAAGAGGAGAGUGGAAUUCCCAGUGUAGAGGUGAAAUUCGUAGAUAUUGGGAAGAACACCAGUGGCGAAGGCGGCUCUCUGGUCCAUACCUGACACUCAUGCACGAAAGCGUGGGGAGCAAACAGGAUUAGAUACCCUGGUAGUCCACGCCGUAAACGAUGUGUGCUAGACGUCGGGAGGCUUGCCUCUCGGUGUCGAAGCUAACGCGAUAAGCACACCGCCUGGGGAGUACGGCCGCAAGGUUAAA
This 374-nucleotide ribosomal RNA is filed under the name uncultured bacterium. RNAcentral's name for it is "bacterial SSU rRNA". It matches the Rfam family "Bacterial small subunit ribosomal RNA", at positions 524 to 898 of the family's 1533-position model. The record is from RNAcentral.